UGGGGAAUAUUGCACAAUGGGCGGAAGCCUGAUGCAGCGACGCCGCGUGGGGGAUGAAGGCCUUCGGGUUGUAAACUCCUUUCGACAGGGACGAAGCUUUUGUGACGGUACCUGUAUAAGAAGCACCGGCUAACUACGUGCCAGCAGCCGCGGUAAUACGUAGGGUGCGAGCGUUGUCCGGAAUUACUGGGCGUAAAGAGCUCGUAGGUGGUUUGUCGCGUCGUCUGUGAAAUUCCGGGGCUUAACUCCGGGCGUGCAGGCGAUACGGGCUGACUUGAGUACUGUAGGGGUGACUGGAAUUCCUGGUGUAGCGGUGAAAUGCGCAGAUAUCAGGAGGAACACCGAUGGCGAAGGCAGGUCUCUGAGCAGUAACUGACGCUGAGGAGCGAAAGCAUGGGUAGCGAACAGG
RNAcentral lists this ribosomal RNA (409 nucleotides) under Actinomycetes bacterium. RNAcentral's name for it is "Actinobacteria bacterium partial 16S ribosomal RNA". It matches the Rfam family "Bacterial small subunit ribosomal RNA", at positions 355 to 776 of the family's 1533-position model. The record is from RNAcentral. Lineage: Bacteria; Bacillati; Actinomycetota; Actinomycetes.